UACAGAGGGGGCAAGCGUUGUUCGGAAUUACUGGGCGUAAAGCGCGUGUAGGCGGCCUUUCAAGUCCUGUGUGAAAUCCCAUGGCUCAACCAUGGAAGUGCACCCGAAACUGCAUAGCUAGAGUCCUGGAGAGGAAGGUGGAAUGCUUGGUGUAGAGGUGAAAUUCGUAGAUAUCAAGCGGAACACCGGUGGCGAAGGCGGCCUUCUGGGAAGAUACUGACGCUGAGGUGCGAAAGCGUGGGGAGCAAACAGG
Molecule: ribosomal RNA, 253 nt
Filed under: uncultured bacterium
Lineage: Bacteria
Description: partial 16S ribosomal RNA
Rfam family: Bacterial small subunit ribosomal RNA
Source: RNAcentral